AGUCGAACGGCAGCACGGGAGCAAUCCUGGUGGCGAGUGGCGAACGGGUGAGUAAUAUAUCGGAACGUGCCCAGUCGUGGGGGAUAACGCAGCGAAAGCUGUGCUAAUACCGCAUACGAUCUCUGGAUGAAAGCGGGGGACCUUCGGGCCUCGCGCGAUUGGAGCGGCCGAUAUCAGAUUAGCUAGUUGGUGGGGUAAAAGCUCACCAAGGCGACGAUCUGUAGCUGGUCUGAGAGGACGACCAGCCACACUGGAACUGAGACACGGUCCAGACUCCUACGGGAGGCAGCAGUGGGGAAUUUUGGACAAUGGGCGCAAGCCUGAUCCAGCAAUGCCGCGUGCAGGAUGAAGGCCUUCGGGUUGUAAACUGCUUUUGUACGGAACGAAACGGCUCUUUCUAAUAAAGAGGGCUAAUGACGGUACCGUAAGAAUAAGCACCGGCUAACUACGUGCCAGCAGCCGCGGUAAU
RNAcentral lists this ribosomal RNA (469 nucleotides) under uncultured bacterium. RNAcentral's name for it is "bacterial SSU rRNA". It matches the Rfam family "Bacterial small subunit ribosomal RNA", at positions 60 to 524 of the family's 1533-position model. The record is from RNAcentral.